UUGAAAUCCAUGUAGAUAGAUGAAUAGAAUUUGGAGUGCUUUGAGAUUUGUGCAAUGGGUGAUCCUUUAAGGUUACUUUGAGAUUUGUGCAAGUGGAUGAAUGAAGUGUUUGGACUGCUUUGAGAUCUAUAUGAUGAGUGAUUCUGAACUACGAGCCAUGUUGAUAAGGAUGGGUGGGGGCUUAGAAAGGCCAAAUGAAAGGAUGAAUGGAUGAAUAAUCAUUCACAACAAGAGAAGAGGAUGGAUAAAGUGAGCUACAAGCUCAAGCUGUAUCAUAUAUCAAAUAGUUUAGUAAUCACAAUCUGUC
This 307-nucleotide long non-coding RNA is filed under the name Phoenix dactylifera (date palm). RNAcentral's name for it is "long non-coding RNA (PDAC_LNC003932)". Lineage: Eukaryota; Viridiplantae; Streptophyta; Magnoliopsida; Arecales; Arecaceae. The record is from RNAcentral.